UACGGAGGGUGCAAGCGUUGUCCGGAUUUAUUGGGUUUAAAGGGUGCGUAGGCGGCUAUUUAAGUCAGUGGUGAAAUCCUGCAGCUCAACUGUAGAAUUGCCAUUGAUACUGGAUAGCUUGAGUACAGACGAGGUAGGCGGAAUUUAUGGUGUAGCGGUGAAAUGCAUAGAUACCAUAAAGAACUCCUAUUGCGAAGGCAGCUUACUAGGCUGUAACUGACGCUGAGGCACGAAAGCGUGGGGAUCAAACAGG
This 253-nucleotide ribosomal RNA is filed under the name uncultured bacterium. Its description in RNAcentral is "partial 16S ribosomal RNA". It matches the Rfam family "Bacterial small subunit ribosomal RNA", at positions 524 to 776 of the family's 1533-position model. The record is from RNAcentral.